Daphnia magna is the source of this 73-nucleotide transfer RNA. It matches the Rfam family "tRNA". Rfam says of the family: Transfer RNA (tRNA) molecules are approximately 80 nucleotides in length. Lineage: Eukaryota; Metazoa; Arthropoda; Branchiopoda; Diplostraca; Daphniidae. The record is from Rfam.
GGUAGCAUGGCUUAGAUGGCAAGGCGCCUGUCUAGUAAGCAGGAGAUCACGAGUUCGAGUCUCGUUGGGACCU